RNAcentral lists this ribosomal RNA (489 nucleotides) under uncultured bacterium. RNAcentral's name for it is "partial 16S ribosomal RNA". It matches the Rfam family "Bacterial small subunit ribosomal RNA", at positions 28 to 507 of the family's 1533-position model. The record is from RNAcentral.
GAUGAACGCUAGCGGCAGGCUUAAUACAUGCAAGUCGUGGGGCAGCAGGACUGUUGCAAUACAGUUGCUGGCGACCGGCAAACGGGUGCGGAACACGUACGCAACUUACCCUGAAAUGUGGGAGAGAUCGGGGAAACCCGGAUUGAGACCACGUAAUAUAAUGGAAUGGCCGCCCUUUAUUAGUAUAGCUCCGGGGGUGGGGGAUGGGCGUGCGGCGGAUUAGGCAGUUGGUGGAGUGAACGGCUCACCAGGCCUACGAUCAGUAACUGGUGGUCGGGAACGACCACUACGACGGGAACGGGGACACGGGCCCGGCUACUACGGCAGGCACCAGUAAGGAAUGUUGGGCAACGGAGGCGAAUCUGACCCAGCCAUGCCGAGUGGAGGAUAAAGGCGCUCUGGGUUGUAAACUUCUUUUAUAGGGGAAGAACCCUGUGUAUUCUUAAGCAGUUGACGGUACCAGAGGAAUAAGCACCGGCUAACUCCGUG